RNAcentral lists this ribosomal RNA (427 nucleotides) under Neomaso sp. n. long-legged. RNAcentral's name for it is "partial large subunit ribosomal RNA". Lineage: Eukaryota; Metazoa; Arthropoda; Arachnida; Araneae; Linyphiidae. The record is from RNAcentral.
AUUAUUUUAAGUAAAAUCUGCUCCAUGUUAUAUAAAUAGCCGCAGAAAUUUAACUGUGCUAAGGUAGCAUAAUCAUUUACCUUUUAAUUAAAGGUUUGUAUGAACGAUUUUACAUUUAGAUUACUCUUUAUUAAUUUUUACAAAAUUUAAAUUAAACAUAAAAAUGUUUUUAUCUUUAAAAAAGACGAUAAGACCCUAUUGAACUUAACAUAAGUUUAGCUGGGGAAGCUAGUUAAAUACAAUUUUGACUUACAUCUUAAAAAUKRAUUCUAACMWAAUUWUUCCAAUAAGUUACCAUAGGGAUAACAGCGUAAUUUAAUUUUAAAGCUCAUAUUAAAAAUUAAGCUUACGACCUCGAUGUUGAAUUAGAAUUCCUUUWAACGCAAGCGUUUAAAAAGUAGGUCUGUUCGACCUUUAAUAAUCUACG